This 1667-nucleotide ribosomal RNA is filed under the name Escherichia coli. RNAcentral describes it as "partial 23S ribosomal RNA". It matches the Rfam family "Bacterial large subunit ribosomal RNA", at positions 1292 to 2925 of the family's 2925-position model. The record is from RNAcentral. Lineage: Bacteria; Pseudomonadati; Pseudomonadota; Gammaproteobacteria; Enterobacterales; Enterobacteriaceae.
GAAUGCUGACAUAAGUAACGAUAAAGCGGGUGAAAAGCCCGCUCGCCGGAAGACCAAGGGUUCCUGUCCAACGUUAAUCGGGGCAGGGUGAGUCGACCCCUAAGGCGAGGCCGAAAGGCGUAGUCGAUGGGAAACAGGUUAAUAUUCCUGUACUUGGUGUUACUGCGAAGGGGGGACGGAGAAGGCUAUGUUGGCCGGGCGACGGUUGUCCCGGUUUAAGCGUGUAGGCUGGUUUUCCAGGCAAAUCCGGAAAACCAAGGCUGAGGCGUGAUGACGAGGCACUACGGUGCUGAAGCGACAAAUGCCCUGCUUCCAGGAAAAGCCUCUAAGCAUCAGGUAACAUCAAAUCGUACCCCAAACCGACACAGGUGGUCAGGUAGAGAAUACCAAGGCGCUUGAGAGAACUCGGGUGAAGGAACUAGGCAAAAUGGUGCCGUAACUUCGGGAGAAGGCACGCUGAUAUGUAGGUGAAGCGACUUGCUCGUGGAGCUGAAAUCAGUCGAAGAUACCAGCUGGCUGCAACUGUUUAUUAAAAACACAGCACUGUGCAAACACGAAAGUGGACGUAUACGGUGUGACGCCUGCCCGGUGCCGGAAGGUUAAUUGAUGGGGUUAGCGGCAACGCGAAGCUCUUGAUCGAAGCCCCGGUAAACGGCGGCCGUAACUAUAACGGUCCUAAGGUAGCGAAAUUCCUUGUCGGGUAAGUUCCGACCUGCACGAAUGGCGUAAUGAUGGCCAGGCUGUCUCCACCCGAGACUCAGUGAAAUUGAACUCGCUGUGAAGAUGCAGUGUACCCGCGGCAAGACGGAAAGACCCCGUGAACCUUUACUAUAGCUUGACACUGAACAUUGAGCCUUGAUGUGUAGGAUAGGUGGGAGGCUUUGAAGUGUGGACGCCAGUCUGCAUGGAGCCGACCUUGAAAUACCACCCUUUAAUGUUUGAUGUUCUAACGUUGGCCCGUAAUCCGGGUUGCGGACAGUGUCUGGUGGGUAGUUUGACUGGGGCGGUCUCCUCCUAAAGAGUAACGGAGGAGCACGAAGGUUGGCUAAUCCUGGUCGGACAUCAGGAGGUUAGUGCAAUGGCAUAAGCCAGCUUGACUGCGAGCGUGACGGCGCGAGCAGGUGCGAAAGCAGGUCAUAGUGAUCCGGUGGUUCUGAAUGGAAGGGCCAUCGCUCAACGGAUAAAAGGUACUCCGGGGAUAACAGGCUGAUACCGCCCAAGAGUUCAUAUCGACGGCGGUGUUUGGCACCUCGAUGUCGGCUCAUCACAUCCUGGGGCUGAAGUAGGUCCCAAGGGUAUGGCUGUUCGCCAUUUAAAGUGGUACGCGAGCUGGGUUUAGAACGUCGUGAGACAGUUCGGUCCCUAUCUGCCGUGGGCGCUGGAGAACUGAGGGGGGCUGCUCCUAGUACGAGAGGACCGGAGUGGACGCAUCACUGGUGUUCGGGUUGUCAUGCCAAUGGCACUGCCCGGUAGCUAAAUGCGGAAGAGAUAAGUGCUGAAAGCAUCUAAGCACGAAACUUGCCCCGAGAUGAGUUCUCCCUGACUCCUUGAGAGUCCUGAAGGAACGUUGAAGACGACGACGUUGAUAGGCCGGGUGUGUAAGCGCAGCGAUGCGUUGAGCUAACCGGUACUAAUGAACCGUGAGGCUUAACCUUACAACGCCGAAG